Molecule: transfer RNA, 73 nt
Filed under: Ictidomys tridecemlineatus (thirteen-lined ground squirrel)
Lineage: Eukaryota; Metazoa; Chordata; Mammalia; Rodentia; Sciuridae
Description: Spermophilus tridecemlineatus (thirteen-lined ground squirrel) tRNA
Rfam family: tRNA
About the family: Transfer RNA (tRNA) molecules are approximately 80 nucleotides in length. Their secondary structure includes four short double-helical elements and three loops (D, anti-codon, and T loops). Further hydrogen bonds mediate the characteristic L-shaped molecular structure. tRNAs have two regions of fundamental functional importance: the anti-codon, which is responsible for specific mRNA codon recognition, and the 3' end, to which the tRNAs corresponding amino acid is attached (by aminoacyl-tRNA synthetases). tRNAs cope with the degeneracy of the genetic code in two manners: having more than one tRNA (with a specific anti-codon) for a particular amino acid; and 'wobble' base-pairing, i.e. permitting non-standard base-pairing at the 3rd anti-codon position.
Source: Rfam by way of RNAcentral
GGAGACAUAGCUCAGUUGGUAGAGUGCUUGCUUUGCAUGCACAAGGCUCUGGGUUCAAUCCCCAGCACCACCC